This 20-nucleotide microRNA is filed under the name Solanum lycopersicum (tomato). Its description in RNAcentral is "sly-miR1916". The record is from miRBase by way of RNAcentral. Lineage: Eukaryota; Viridiplantae; Streptophyta; Magnoliopsida; Solanales; Solanaceae.
AUUUCACUUAGACACCUCAA